GCGUGCGUGAAGAAGGCCUUAGGGUUGUAAAGCGCUUUCGCCCGCGAGGAUGAUGACGGUAGCGGGAGAAGAAGCCCCGGCUAACUCCGUGCCAGCAGCCGCGGUAAUACGGAGGGGGCUAGCGUUGUUCGGAAUUACUGGGCGUAAAGGGCGCGUAGGCGGGCGAUCAAGUCAGGGGUGAAAGGCCUGGGCUCAACCUGGGAACUGCCUUUGAAACUGAUUGUCUUGAGUCCGGGAGAGGAUGGCGGAAUUCCCAGUGUAGAGGUGAAAUUCGU
RNAcentral lists this ribosomal RNA (275 nucleotides) under uncultured bacterium. RNAcentral describes it as "partial 16S ribosomal RNA". It matches the Rfam family "Bacterial small subunit ribosomal RNA", at positions 399 to 691 of the family's 1533-position model. The record is from RNAcentral.